This 268-nucleotide long non-coding RNA is filed under the name Anser cygnoides (Swan goose). Its description in RNAcentral is "lncRNA (ENSACDG00005004098.1)". Lineage: Eukaryota; Metazoa; Chordata; Aves; Anseriformes; Anatidae. The record is from RNAcentral.
UGCGGCUGCUGAUCAAUUUUGUGACAUGAAGGAUGGUGGUGUCACGACCUGGCAGGAACAGACAGUGACCGCAGGAGACGGAAGAGGAGUGGAUCCAGAUGAGGAAAUAACCCACCGGAAAACAGAAGUGCCGAGAGACAUCAGCUGCGCCGUGCUUAUCGCAGCGCUCAUGGCUGGGCUCUCCUCAUCCGCUGCUUUUGUCACACAUCGCUUUGUACCGUUUUCCUGCAGUUUUGUCAGCCAGAAACAUUGCAUACAGGACCAUUGA